Molecule: long non-coding RNA, 4250 nt
Organism: Acinonyx jubatus (cheetah)
Lineage: Eukaryota; Metazoa; Chordata; Mammalia; Carnivora; Felidae
Exons: 3
Source: RefSeq, a predicted model, not a curated record
UCCUGGAGAGACAGUAUUGCCUAAUGGUUGAAACCAUGGGCACUGGGGGCAAAAAGACCUAAGGUCAAGUGCGAAGUCUACUACUUUCAACAGAGGGUUAUCUAUUUCCUUCUGCCACAAGGGUAGAGCCCUCGUGAAUGGCUUAGUGCUCAUAAAGAGAUCUCUCAUAAUUCUCCAUGACUUAGGGCCAGCUCUUCGCUUGGAUGCCACAGUCUGAAUCUUUGUGUCCCCCAGAAUUCAAAUGUUGAAAUAGUAACCCCCAAAAGGAAUGGUUUUAGUAAGUGGGACCUUUGGGAAAGGAUUCGGUCGUGAAGGUGGAGGCUUUGUGAAGGCGGGAUUGGCACCCUCAUAAAGGAGAUCCCACGUCUCUCUGUCCCUAGCCCGUUCUGUCAUAUGAGGAUAUGGUGAGAGGUCUGCAACCAGAAGAGGGCCCUCAUCCAACCAAGCAGGCAUCCUGAUCUUGGACUUCCAGCCUUCAGAUCUGUGAGCAAUGAAUUUCAACUGUUUAUGAGCUUCCUGGCCUAUGGAAUUUUUUUUUUUAACAGCAGGGCAAAGGACUAAGGUGAGCUUUGAGCACAUUUCUGAGCCUCUCAAAGCUCUGAUUUCCUCAUCUAUGAAAACCUACCUCACCAGCAUUUGGUCUAAAGUUAUAAAUGGAAAGAUGUUCUAUGAACAGGAGCUCAUAGGAUCUGCACACGCUCUGGCCGUUUCUCUACUGGAAUCUCAUUUUGCAAACAAGACGGACUGGAGAAAAUGGAAGCAUUUGAGACCUGAGAUGACUGGGCUGAAUUUCUUAAUGGCGUGAUUUUUUUCUUUUCUUUUUUUUUUUUGGAAGUGAUUUGUGUCUGAAGAAUAGGCUGUCCAGGGCAAGCUAAGUGGAUGGCUUUCCUGGAGAGAGGGGGAGACAGGACUUGCUCGUGCCUGACCGCUGCUUAUGGGGGGGAGGGGGCACAGCCCUUGCAAGAAUCUGCUUGGAGACCCAUCCCAUACAGCCAUCAUAGGUGCGUCAUGAGGCUCAUGUGACAUAAGGGCCGCGGAGGUGUUCCAAAAGGUUGCAAGUGCUACAGGGUGAUUCACAGUCCCCAUUUCUCUCCGGUCUGUCUUCCCCCGCGCCUGCCCUAACCUGGGCCUUCACCGUCCGGCCCUGUGACUGCGCUCUGGUCUCCAGUCUGCACGCCGUCCACGCCUCAGUCCCAGCUGUGCCCUGACAUCCUUCCAAAACCCACCCCAGCUAAGUGCAUCCCGCUACGACACCUCCCGCCAGGGAAGCCAGUCAGGAGGAUGGGCUGCCUUCCCGAAAUCACAAAACAGCAAAAGGGAGAUUAUGCAGCUGGGCCUCAUUUAGACGCGCGCCUUGGGGCAGAGCGUUUUCUCCAGCCGCUGGCAGAAGAGAAGGAGGCCACAGGCAGAGAGGAGGCAGAACCUCGGCCCACAGCCACAGGAACCGCAUGCAGCCAGCAACCUGACGGAGCUUGGACGCUGAUUUGUCCCCAGAGCCUCCGGAGGAGAUCCCUGCCUGGCCCAAACCGUGAGUUGGGCCUUGCAAGACCCUGAACAGAAACCCCAGUUGACCCUACUUGAAUCCCCGACCCACGGCGCUGUAUAAAUGGGUAUCAUUUCAAUCUGCUAAAUGUUUAGUAAUUCGGUAUGCAAGGUCUUGGGUGAGGCUGCUUUAACAAAAUACCACAGCAUGGGUGGCUUAAACAACAGGAAUUUAUUUCCCAUGGUUUUGGAAGGUGGGGAGUCCAAGAUCAGGGUGCCAGCAUGGUCACGUCCUGGUGAUGACCCCCCCUCCUGGUUUGCAGAUGGCCACCUUCUUGCUGUGACCUCACGUGGUGGAGAGAGAGAUCGUCUCUCUGGCAUCUCUUUUUAUGGGGCGCUGGUCCCAUUCGUGAGGGCUCCCAAAGGCCUCAUCACCAAAUGCCAUCACACGCGGGACUGGGUUUCAACCUAUGAGCUGUGGAUACACAGAUACAAACAUUCAGUCUGUUACGUGCAGCAAUAGAAAAUUAAUACAUUUGCUCUGUCAAGGCCUUAAGGGUUCUUCUCCAAUCUCCAUGUCACACAUGAGCUCUGAGUGAUUGUGGGGUUUGAAUCUGGACCCAAUCAACUUGCUGCCGAGUUACGUGGCAUUCAGUUCCUCCUCCAUUUCCUCGUCUGUGUACUUAGGAUAAUUACAGAACUUCCUCAUGAGGUUUUUGGGAAGAUUAAGUGAGUUAACCCAGCAGAGUACUUAUUACAAUAUCCAACAAAAAGGAAAUGCUGCAUACGUUAUUUUUUUCCUUUGUACUGUGAUUACAUUCUUUGCAGACAUUCCCUUUAAGUCAAAUGGGUUUAUUUAUUAACCUGGGGAAAAUACACUUUUCUUGGCUUUCACCAUAUCUCCUUCUCUUACUCUACCCCUCAAUACCCAUCCUUCCAGGUCUUUCUCUGAUUCCUCCCUCCUCCAUGAAGCCUACCCUGACCGUUCCAGCUCAUGGUAGUCCGUCCUCUAUACUAACUUCUAGAGUACCAGAGGCUAGUGCAAAUCCUUAGACUGUCUCUUACCUAAUCACUUUAAAUGAUUUUUUUUUACUAUAAUAGAAAAAUGUCUGUCUGUUGGAGAUAAGAGGGGAAAUCUACAAAAGUUCAAGGCAAGAAGUAAGUCACCUGCUGCCAUGGUUAAUAAUAUUUCCUUCCCGUCUUCCUGUUUUUGUUGAUUGUGUAUAUUUAAACACAUAUGUAUACAGUUACCUUUGUGAGAAUAAAUCUCCGCCCCAGCCCACCCAGGGCAUCCAUCUGCCGGGGGAGAGAUUAGGAUUUGUUCACAGAAGGAAUUCAGAGAGGAAAAAUACAAUAUGGCAUUCAACUUUAAUCAUGCAAAAUAGGAUCAUGCUGGAAACCAGGGCAUUUAAGAGCUGUUUUAGCCAAGGUUCCUGCAUUAGUCUCAUAUGGCUGAUAUAACAAAUUACCACACAUUUAGUGGCUUAAAACAACACAGAUUUAUUCUCCGACAGUUCCAGAUGUCAGAAGUGUGAAAUGAGUCUUAUGGGGCACAAAGUGUUGUUAGGGUCCCUUCUGGAGACUCCAGGGGAGGCCGAUCCUUUCCUCUACUAGCUUCUAGACUAGCCCGCGUUCCUUGGCUCAUGGCUACAUCUCUCUAAUCUCUGCUUCCAACCUGACAUCACCUUCUCCUGACUUUGACCCUCCUGCCUCCCUCUCUUAGGGAUCCCUGUGAUCACAUUGGGCUCACCUGGAUAAUCCAGGAUAAUGUCCCCAUCUUAACACAUUUAACUUAAGCGUAUUUGCAAACCCAUUUUACUAUGAAAGGUAACACAGUCAUAGGUUCCGGGGAUUAGAACAUAGACCUCUUUUGGGGCCACUAUUCUGUUUACCACUUUACCCUAGAGAAUGGAGCCUGCAGCAGGGAUUAGGUGCUGCCAGUCUUAUUGUGCUGUAUAAACCUAGGGCAGUAAGAGUGAGGAAAAAGGGGAGGAAAGGAGCAGAUUGCAAAGCAAUGCAAGGCGGUGAUUACUGAGCCGACCGUGUCUCAGGAUGAGCUGAGAAAAGCAGGUUGUCAACAAGAGAAUUGUUCAGCCAUGUGGAAGUCUCCAGGCACGUUAUAUGGAGAAACUGUCUCUGGGAGCAUUCCGUUCAGAAGAGGGAUGAGGCAGAAUGUAUCUGCCAGUUUCCUUCCCUUCUCUUAUUUCCCAUCGAUCAAAGUCUGCCCCAUGUGGCGUUAAUCUCAGCACAUUUCUGAGUGGCAUCAUUUGGGUCCCUUUGAGAAUUAUUUGGAAAGCCAGAUCCUAUACCCUUUGCUGUGAUGCUGUAUCUGAGUCUGGAAGUGAUGGGAGGAACCAGAGACACUGGUUAUGCGUUUUAUCACUCUCAGGAGGAACUUACAGAGAGGCAUGAUGACCAAGAGAGAGCAAUCAGCUUGGGGCCCAAGUUGCAGGUGAAGCCAGCAGAAUCUGAUAAAGCAGGUGAAGUCAGGAGGGUCUGAGGAAGUACCGAAGGCGUAUCCAGCACAUUCCAGCCCUGAAAUCCCCUCAGGUCCGUCAUCCAUUCCCGUUACAUACUCUUCCAUAAUAUAUGAGGCGUGGAGUUGUUUUCUGAGAACCAGAUGCCCUCAUUCCUCCCUGAGAGGGCAGGUAAAAAUGUAGCCACAGAAUGCCUUCAUGGUCAAGCCUAAAUUUCCAGUAAAACCAGAAAGCGAGAUUAAGAGAACAAGUGACAUUCUCCACUGUGCUUGUCCCAAGGCCAUAGUGACA